This 857-nucleotide long non-coding RNA is filed under the name Lathyrus oleraceus (garden pea). Its description in RNAcentral is "Pisum sativum (pea) long non-coding RNA (PSAT_LNC019191)". The record is from RNAcentral. Lineage: Eukaryota; Viridiplantae; Streptophyta; Magnoliopsida; Fabales; Fabaceae.
GUAUGGUUUUGCCUAAUGUGCUAUUUACUAAAAAGGUUAAGAGAAAUGACUCGCGCGGAUGUCGCAUCCACUGCAUACGUAUCUCAUCUGAAUAUGAGAAUCAGAGUCUUCGUAGCUCGGCUGACCUAUGGGUUGGGGUAAUUGUGCUCGCUAAGACGUCGCGUCUUAUGCCUACGUAUCUCAUCUGGAAUGAGAAUCAGAGCAAGCCGUAGUUCGACUAUACGGGGUUAUGGAUUAUGUUACGGGUGAACAACGUUACUACGCAAUCUACCGGAUGCUCGACCUUUGGAGACUUACUCGCCUGUAGAGAGGAGUAAACGUGUUGCUUUGGGUUUUAGGUUUUGUUUGCGUUGUAGGAACGCGCAUGCAAAGAGGAAGUCCUAGGCGGAGGAACAGUGCUACCUAAAUUGGCAUGCAAACGGGAGACUAUGCGAAGCCUCGCAUCCUAUGGGGAAACAAUCACAUCACACAAAACAUAUAUCUUGAAAUAGAAAAAAGCCACCAAGGGCUCAAACAUUGCCUCCUAUCGAGGUCUUCCAGCUAAGAAACCGUAGAAAUAAAAGGGAAGAAGUAAAAUACCACGGAUCAAGAUCCGAAGUUACAGCAAUUAAAGGAUAAGCAACCCUGAGAUUCUCCCAAGCUGAUGCCAUCAAAGAAAACCAAUCAGUACGGGAAAUCGGAAUAAACCUCCGGAGGGUGUCCCUGCGAGAAUAUGUGAGCCCUCACAAAACAUCAACAAAGGGGUUAGGAAACAGGAUUGAAAUCAAAAGAUAACAAGGCCAUGGCAACACAAAGAACAGGUUAGAACAAAACGGAAUAAAGCAAGAUACUGUCACAUUCGCGACUGCUUCGCCUAG